Molecule: ribosomal RNA, 399 nt
Filed under: uncultured bacterium
Lineage: Bacteria
Description: bacterial SSU rRNA
Rfam family: Bacterial small subunit ribosomal RNA
Source: RNAcentral
AUUGAACGCUGGCGGCGUGCUUAACACAUGCAAGUCGUGCGGUAACAGGCGUAGCAAUACGUGCUGACGAGCGGCGAACGGGUGCGUAAUACAUGGGAAUCUGCCCUUUAGUGGGGAAUAACCCGGCGAAAGCCGGGCUAAUGCCGCAUAAGAUCUUCGGAUGGAAAGCGGGGGGAUCGUAAGACCUCGCGCUGUUGGAUGAGCCCAUGUCGGAUUAGCUAGNGGUGAGGUAACGGCUCACCAAGGCGACGAUCCGUAGCUGGUCUGAGAGGACGGCCAGCCACACUGGGACUGAGACACGGCCCAGACUCCUACGGGGAGGCAGCAGUGGGGAAUAUUGGACAAGUGGGGGAAACCCUGAUCCAGCGACGCCGCGUGUGUGAAGAAGGCCUGCGGGUU